This is a long non-coding RNA of Mya arenaria, 595 nucleotides long. RefSeq lists it as uncharacterized. The record is from RefSeq and is a predicted model, not a curated record. The transcript is spliced from 4 exons. NCBI's taxonomy places the organism in Eukaryota, Metazoa, Mollusca, Bivalvia, Myida, Myidae.
UUUAAAUAUUAAUCAAAUUAAUUGCUGCAAUGUUUGAUAUUUUAACGCCGUUGUGGUUUUGUUCAGUUGUAGUGUUUGCCUUAUAAAAAAUGGAUGUUAUUUAUCUAAUCGAAGGCGUUGUUGACGACAUGGCUGCCUAAUUGUGUUUAACUUGGUAACUAUAUAUCAAAUAUCAGUGGACGGGGUUCAAAGUAAAUGGAGCACUUCCAAUAAACAAAAACACGGCUGCUAUCUCUUACGUAGCAUUCAGCACAACCCCAAAUCUUAGAACUGCAAAACCACAUGGCCUUGUCUUCACCAUGGUAACCAGAGGUUCCAAACAGCCUUAACAAAAAGCAGGAAACCAAUCAGACGAAAACAUGGAACUAUUCUUGGCCCGGUGAUGAAAAGGGGGCGUGGCAGACCUAAAAAGGGAACAAUUCCGCCCCCUGUCUGUGGUCAAUGAUCAGGGACAGAUUGUAUAUCGAUGUGAAACAUGUAGGGCAGAGGUCAAGACAUACCAUGAUUUACUAGAACACAUGCGACGUCAUUCCGGACAGCGGCCAUUUACGUGUGAUAUUUGUGGGAAGGCAUUCACAACCAAGGGAAGCAUGCA